Molecule: ribosomal RNA, 471 nt
Filed under: uncultured bacterium
Lineage: Bacteria
Description: partial 16S ribosomal RNA
Rfam family: Bacterial small subunit ribosomal RNA
Source: RNAcentral
GACGAACGCUGGCGGCGUGCUUAACACAUGCAAGUCGAACGAUGAAGCCUAGCUUGCUAGGUGGAUUAGUGGCGAACGGGUGAGUAAUACGUGAGUGACCUACCUUUGACUCUGGGAUAAGCCUGGGAAACUGGGUCUAAUACCGGAUACGACCAAUCUCCGCAUGGGGUGUUGGUGGUAAGCGUUAGGGAGUGGUUUUAGAUGGGCUCACGGCCUAUCAGCUUGUUGGUGAGGUAAUGGCUUACCAAGGCGACGACGGGUAGCCGGCCUGAGAGGGUGACCGGCCACACUGGGACUGAGACACGGCCCAGACUCCUACGGGAGGCAGCAGUGGGGAAUAUUGCACAAUGGGCGCAAGCCUGAUGCAGCGACGCCGCGUGAGGGAUGACGGCCUUCGGGUUGUAAACCUCUGUUAGCAUCGAAGGAGCGAAAGUGACGGUAGGUGCAGAGAAAGCGCCGGCUAACUACGUG